This is a non-coding RNA of Chelonoidis abingdonii (Abingdon island giant tortoise), 395 nucleotides long. NCBI's taxonomy places the organism in Eukaryota, Metazoa, Chordata, Testudines, Testudinidae. The record is from RefSeq and is a predicted model, not a curated record.
GUGAGGGCGAGAGUGACACGCUCCCGCCCCCCUCCCCCCCGCCCGAGAGGGUGGCUCAGGAGGCAGCGGGAGGGGAUGGUGUGUAUCGCGGAGGCGGUGGCCGCUCCGGCUCCUCCACCGCCCCGCGCCUUUGCCGUGGAUCUGCCCAGGGCCCCCCGGCCCGCACAGAUAUGAGGCAUCUAUUAGCAAGCUAAAAGUGACUGAACCAUGGCUCAGUUUCCAACACCUUUUGGGGGCAACCUGGAUAUCUGGGCCAUAACUGUGGAAGAGAGAGCUAAACAUGAUCAGCAGUUCCAUAGUCUGAAACCAACUUCUGGAUUUAUCACUGGUGAUCAAGCUAGAAACUUUUUUUUCCAAUCUGGAUUACCUCAACCGGUGUUAGCACAAAUAUGGCA